This 467-nucleotide ribosomal RNA is filed under the name uncultured bacterium. RNAcentral's name for it is "partial 16S ribosomal RNA". It matches the Rfam family "Bacterial small subunit ribosomal RNA", at positions 28 to 507 of the family's 1533-position model. The record is from RNAcentral.
GACGAACGCUGGCGGCGUGCUUAACACAUGCAAGUCGAACGGAAAGGCCCUGCUUUUGUGGGGUGCUCGAGUGGCGAACGGGUGAGUAACACGUGAGUAACCUGCCCUUGACUUUGGGAUAACUUCAGGAAACUGGGGCUAAUACCGGAUAGGAGCUCCUGCUGCAUGGUGGGGGUUGGAAAGUUUCGGCGGUUGGGGAUGGACUCGCGGCUUAUCAGCUUGUUGGUGGGGUAGUGGCUUACCAAGGCUUGACGGGUAGCCGGCCUGAGAGGGUGACCGGCCACAUUGGGACUGAGAUACGGCCCAGACUCCUACGGGAGGCAGCAGUGGGGAAUAUUGCACAGUGGGCGGAAGCCUGAUGCAGCAACGCCGCGUGCGGGAUGACGGCCUUCGGGUUGUAAACCGCUUUCGCCUGUGACGAAGCGUGAGUGACGGUAAUAGGUAAAGAAGCACCGGCUAACUACGUG